GAUGAACGCUGGCGGCGUGCCUAACACAUGCAAGUCGAGCGGUAUAUAUUGGAACGAAACUUCGGUCUAGAGAAGAUAUAGAGAGCGGCGGACGGGUGAGUAACGCGUAGGCAACCUGCCCCAUACAGAGGGAUAGCCUCGGGAAACCGGGAUUAAGACCUCAUAACACCAACAGCCUUCAUGGGCCAUUGGUCAAAGAUUUAUCGGUAUGGGAUGGGCCUGCGUCUGAUUAGCUGGUUGGUAGGGUAACGGCCUACCAAGGCGACGAUCAGUAGCCGACCUGAGAGGGUAAUCGGCCACAUUGGAACUGAGACACGGUCCAAACUCCUACGGGAGGCAG
RNAcentral lists this ribosomal RNA (340 nucleotides) under uncultured Bacillota bacterium. Its description in RNAcentral is "bacterial SSU rRNA". It matches the Rfam family "Bacterial small subunit ribosomal RNA", at positions 28 to 351 of the family's 1533-position model. The record is from RNAcentral. Lineage: Bacteria; Bacillati; Bacillota.